GGGCUUGUGGUUUAGUGGUAUAAUACUCCCUUAGCAUCUUGCUUGGAAAUCUGGGAGUGGUCCGGGGUUCGAUUCCCCGCGAGUCCA
Nemania sp. NC0429 is the source of this 87-nucleotide non-coding RNA. The record is from the annotation of a GenBank genome assembly. Lineage: Eukaryota; Fungi; Ascomycota; Sordariomycetes; Xylariales; Xylariaceae.